This 71-nucleotide small nucleolar RNA is filed under the name Marmota monax (woodchuck). Lineage: Eukaryota; Metazoa; Chordata; Mammalia; Rodentia; Sciuridae. The record is from RNAcentral.
UGGACUAAUGAUGAGAGUAUAUGAUGAACUAAAUAUUAAGAUUAACUCAGUUCUGCGCAUGGUGGUCUGAA